Molecule: non-coding RNA, 148 nt
Filed under: Homo sapiens (human)
Lineage: Eukaryota; Metazoa; Chordata; Mammalia; Primates; Hominidae
Source: Rfam by way of RNAcentral
GCUGGGCAUGGUGGCGCAUGCCCGUAAUCCCAGCUACUCGGGAAGCUGAGGCAGGAGAAUCGUUCGAACCCGGGAGGCAGAGGUUGCAGUGAGCCGAAAUGGCGCCACUGCACUCCAGCCUGGGCGACAGAGUGAGAUCUUUUCUCAA